RNAcentral lists this ribosomal RNA (276 nucleotides) under uncultured bacterium. RNAcentral's name for it is "partial 16S ribosomal RNA". The record is from RNAcentral.
CUGCUGCCUCCCGUAGGAGUCUGGUCCGUGUCUCAGUACCAGUGUGGGGGACCUUCCUCUCAGAACCCCUACGCAUCGUCGCCUCGGUGGGCCGUUACCCCGCCGACUAGCUAAUGCGCCGCAUGCCCAUCCGUGGCCGGGAUUGCUCCCUUUGGCGGCCUUGGGAUGCCCCAAGGCCGCGUUACGCGGUAUUAGACGGGGUUUCCCCCGCUUAUCCCCCUGCCACGGGCAGGUUGCAUACGUGUUACUCACCCGUGCGCCGGUCGCCGGCAACGG